GACGAACGCUGGCGGCGUGCUUAACACAUGCAAGUCGAACGGUGAAGCGCCUUCCUUUUUGGUGGGUGUGGAUGAGUGGCGAACGGGUGAGUAACACGUGAGUAACCUGCCCCCUUCUUCUGGAUAACCGCAUGAAAGUGUGGCUAAUACGGGAUAUUCUGGGUCUGUCGCAUGAGGGGUCUGGGAAAGAUAUUGUUUCGGUGGGGGAUGGGCUCGCGGCCUAUCAGCUUGUUGGUGGGGUGAUGGCCUACCAAGGCGGUGACGGGUAGCCGGCCUGAGAGGGUGGACGGUCACACUGGGACUGAGACACGGCCCAGACUCCUACGGGAGGCAGCAGUGGGGAAUAUUGCACAAUGGGCGCAAGCCUGAUGCAGCGACGCCGCGUGAGGGAUGGAGGCCUUCGGGUUGUGAACCUCUUUCGCCAGUGAAGCAGGCCUGCCUCGUUUGUGGGUGGGUUGACGGUAGCUGGAUAAGAAGCGCCGGCUAACUACGUG
Molecule: ribosomal RNA, 494 nt
Filed under: uncultured bacterium
Lineage: Bacteria
Description: partial 16S ribosomal RNA
Rfam family: Bacterial small subunit ribosomal RNA
Source: RNAcentral